GAUGAACGCUGGCGGCGUGCCUAAUACAUGCAAGUCGAGCGAACGGACGAGAAGCUUGCUUCUCUGAUGUUAGCGGCGGACGGGUGAGUAACACGUGGAUAACCUACCUAUAAGACUGGGAUAACUUCGGGAAACCGGAGCUAAUACCGGAUGAUAUUUUGAACCGCAUGGUUCAAAAGUGAAAGACGGUCUUGCUGUCACUUAUAGAUGGAUCCGCGCUGCAUUAGCUAGUUGGUAAGGUAACGGCUUACCAAGGCAACGAUGCAUAGCCGACCUGAGAGGGUGAUCGGCCACACUGGAACUGAGACACGGUCCAGACUCCUACGGGAGGCAGCAGUAGGGAAUCUUCCACAAUGGGCGAAAGCCUGACGGAGCAACGCCGCGUGAGUGAUGAAGGUCUUCGGAUCGUAAAACUCUGUUAUUAGGGAAGAACAUAUGUGUAAGUAACUGUGCACUUCUUGACGGUACCUAAUCAGAAAGCCACGGAUAACUACGUG
This 497-nucleotide ribosomal RNA is filed under the name uncultured bacterium. RNAcentral describes it as "partial 16S ribosomal RNA". It matches the Rfam family "Bacterial small subunit ribosomal RNA", at positions 28 to 507 of the family's 1533-position model. The record is from RNAcentral.